RNAcentral lists this ribosomal RNA (785 nucleotides) under uncultured bacterium. RNAcentral describes it as "bacterial SSU rRNA". It matches the Rfam family "Bacterial small subunit ribosomal RNA", at positions 36 to 812 of the family's 1533-position model. The record is from RNAcentral.
CUGCGGCGGCCUAAUACAUGCAAGUCGAGGGGCAGCACGGGUAGCAAUACCUGGUGGCGACCGGCGCACGGGUGCGUAACGCGUAUGCAACCUACCUUUAACAGGGGGAUAGCUCCGAGAAAUCGGGAUUAAUACCCCAUAGUAUUGUUUUGUGGCAUCACAAGAUGAUUAAAGUUCCGACGGUUAAAGAUGGGCAUGCGUGCCAUUAGCUAGUUGGUGAGGUAACGGCUCACCAAGGCAACGAUGGCUAGGGGUUCUGAGAGGAUUAUCCCCCACACUGGUACUGAGACACGGACCAGACUCCUACGGGAGGCAGCAGUAAGGAAUAUUGGGCAAUGGACGCAAGUCUGACCCAGCCAUGCCGCGUGCAGGAAGACAGCCUUAUGGGUUGUAAACUGCUUUUGUCAGGGAAUAAACCCCCGGUCGUGCACCGGGGCUGAAGGUACCUGAAGAAUAAGCACCGGCUAACUCCGUGCCAGCAGCCGCGGUAAUACGGAGGGUGCAAGCGUUAUCCGGAUUUAUUGGGUUUAAAGGGUGCGCAGGCGGGUUUGUAAGUCAGCGGUGAAAUCCCACGGCUCAACCGUGGAACUGCCAUUGAUACUGCAGGCCUUGAGUGUAUUUGAAGUGGGCGGGAAUGUAGCCAUGUAGCGGUGAAAUGCAUAGAUAUGCUACAGAACACCAAUUGCGAAGGCAGCUCACUAAACUACAACUGACGCUCAUGCACGAAAGCGUGGGGGAUCAAACAGGNAUUAGAUACCCUGGGUAGUCCACGCUGUAAACGAUGA